Molecule: small nuclear RNA, 105 nt
Filed under: Notamacropus eugenii (tammar wallaby)
Lineage: Eukaryota; Metazoa; Chordata; Mammalia; Diprotodontia; Macropodidae
Source: RNAcentral
GACAUACUUUAGCAGGUCAUAUAGUAAAAGCAGAAUGAUACAGAGAAGAUUGGUAAGGCCUCUGUGCAAGUAUGACACACUCAUUAUGAAGCAUUCCAUAUUUUA